This 748-nucleotide long non-coding RNA is filed under the name Rattus norvegicus (Norway rat). Its description in RNAcentral is "long non-coding RNA NONRATT004373". Lineage: Eukaryota; Metazoa; Chordata; Mammalia; Rodentia; Muridae. The record is from RNAcentral.
GAAAACGACAGCUCAGUUUACAGGUCCACAGCGGCAGCUCGAUCCACUCCACUUGCAAACACUUCACAAAUAACCAGCAGUCCAGUUUGGUAGUCGGGAUAGCAAACACGAAACAGCAGCGGUGACACUACCUGGCAGAGACUGCCAGGCCUCAGCCUUGGCUCAUGUCAGCAGGAGGGACCAGGAGGAAUGCCAGGAGUUCUUGGCUGUGCCUCUCUCAGGAAAGGUAAGAGCAGCGGAUGAUCCACAAGUGUUGCACAACUAGCUCUGCAAGCAAGCCAUACUCAGCCUCUGUCACUGUCCAUCAAGUCCUGUUUACCCUCCGAACAUCUCGUGCCCUUCACGGCCUUACCUCACCACGUGGCUUGCCUCGGCACAGGCUUCUGUCUCAGCUGACAUCAAUUUGCCAAUCACAUUUUUUUGGGCGCGUUUCUCUCUAUGGAGUCCCAGCAAAAUGUAGCUCAACUAUGCAAUGUAAGUCAGACCAACACAUGUGUGUUGUUGGCAAAAAAGAAUCCUUCAUCACAUGUCCUUUCACAUAUGUGCUUUAGCAGAACAUCCUUUUACCUGUGUCUGCUUCAGCUAAACGUUCCUUCCUGAGUCUGUGUUAGUCUAUCCCUGUGUCCACUUCAGGAAAACACACCAUGUGUCUGCCCCAGCAAAACACCAUCCGUCACAACUGACUUUCCAAAGAACCACUUCUUCUUUAUUUUUGAGACAUAUUGUGUCUUACUGUGAAGUCUGGACU